RNAcentral lists this ribosomal RNA (468 nucleotides) under uncultured bacterium. Its description in RNAcentral is "partial 16S ribosomal RNA". It matches the Rfam family "Bacterial small subunit ribosomal RNA", at positions 28 to 507 of the family's 1533-position model. The record is from RNAcentral.
GACGAACGCUGGCGGCGUGCUUAACACAUGCAAGUCGAACGGAAAGGCCCUGCUUUUGUGGGGUGCUCGAGUGGCGAACGGGUGAGUAACACGUGAGUAACCUACCCUUGACUUUGGGAUAACUUCAGGAAACUGGGGCUAAUACCGGAUAGGAGCUCCUGCUGCAUGGUGGGGGUUGGAAAGUUUCGGCGGUUGGGGAUGGACUCGCGGCUUAUCAGCUUGUUGGUGGGGUAGUGGCUUACCAAGGCUUUGACGGGUAGGCGGCCUGAGAGGGUGACCGGCCACAUUGGGCCUGAGAUACGGCCCAGACUCCUACGGGAGGCAGCAGUGGGGAAUAUUGCACAAUGGGCGGAAGCCUGAUGCAGCAACGCCGCGUGCGGGAUGACGGCCUUCGGGUUGUAAACCGCUUUCGCCUGUGACGAAGCGUGAGUGACGGUAAUGGGUAAAGAAGCACCGGCUAACUACGUG